GGACAGGUGGUUCAGUGGUAAGACGCUCGCACUACAACUAGUCGACAAGCGGUGUAAACAGCAGUGCACUGCAGUGUACGCCGCGUAAGACUAAUUGAUCUGCGAGAGACCCGCGUUCGACCCGCGGUGUGUACG
Non-coding RNA from Setomelanomma holmii, 135 nucleotides. Lineage: Eukaryota; Fungi; Ascomycota; Dothideomycetes; Pleosporales; Phaeosphaeriaceae. The record is from the annotation of a GenBank genome assembly.